Molecule: long non-coding RNA, 479 nt
Organism: Monodelphis domestica (gray short-tailed opossum)
Lineage: Eukaryota; Metazoa; Chordata; Mammalia; Didelphimorphia; Didelphidae
Source: RefSeq, a predicted model, not a curated record
GAGGGGGGAUAUAUUGGAUGAGGUUCCUGGUCUUCAGGGCUUUGCUUCCUGGGUCACAACUGUGGUGAUAUUGAGGACUUUAUGGUAGCAAUUCACGACCACCUCAUCACCACCAGAAAUUACACAAGCCUUAUCCUUGGGGACCUCAUACUAAGUGAUCAAUGUAGACUUCUAGGAUGAACCAAGAAACUCUGCAGCACAUCAUGGCAGCUGAAUUCUACCAAGAACUAGAACUUACCCUGGUAGCAAAGAAGUAUAGGGAAUCAAAACAAACCAACACACUGGCAAUAUCUGACAAGCUCAUCCAUCCCAAGAAAACUGUUUCACCAAUACUUCUCUGGCAUCACAUUUGGUCAUCAGAAGUUCUAAUAUCUUGCAUUGUUCUUUUUCCUUACAUUACUAUGGUGGCCAUUAUAUAAAUUGCAAUCCUAGUUCUUCUUCAUUCUGUAACAGUUCAAUCAAGCAAUAAACAUUUUUAA